UUUCAUUUCAAACCUGAACGACGUCGUUUCAUUUGUGAUCCACAAUGACGACACAUUGACAUUAUUAUGUCACCUCGGCUUUAAUUUCAUCGAAAAGAGUCGUCGUGGAAAAAAUCACAAAAAAUCAAAAGAUAAUGCAUUUUUUUAAAAUUAAAAAACUUAUGAAAAAAAAAUCAAAAUUUAUAUAUUUUACGGCAGAUAUCCCUAGUUAAAAAAAAAAAAAUUACCCCCAUUAAGAUUUUGAAAAAGAAGGAGCCUCCAUCUCUAAUUUAUUCC
Molecule: long non-coding RNA, 276 nt
Filed under: Salvia miltiorrhiza (redroot sage)
Lineage: Eukaryota; Viridiplantae; Streptophyta; Magnoliopsida; Lamiales; Lamiaceae
Description: long non-coding RNA (SMIL_LNC013738)
Source: RNAcentral